UACGUAGGGGGCAAGCGUUGUUCGGAAUUACUGGGCGUAAAGGGCUCGUAGGUGGCCAACUAAGUCAGACGUGAAAUCCCUCGGCUUAACCGGGGAACUGCGUCUGAUACUGGAUGGCUUGAAUCCGGGAGAGGGAUGCGGAAUUCCAGGUGUAGCGGUGAAAUGCGUAGAUAUCUGGAGGAACACCAAUAGCGAAGGCAGCUCGCUGGGACGGUACUGACGCUAAGGCGCGAAAGCGUGGGGAGCGAACAGG
Molecule: ribosomal RNA, 253 nt
Filed under: uncultured bacterium
Lineage: Bacteria
Description: partial 16S ribosomal RNA
Rfam family: Bacterial small subunit ribosomal RNA
Source: RNAcentral